RNAcentral lists this ribosomal RNA (230 nucleotides) under Olea europaea subsp. europaea. RNAcentral's name for it is "Eukaryotic small subunit ribosomal RNA". It matches the Rfam family "Eukaryotic small subunit ribosomal RNA", at positions 1223 to 1480 of the family's 1831-position model. Lineage: Eukaryota; Viridiplantae; Streptophyta; Magnoliopsida; Lamiales; Oleaceae. The record is from Rfam by way of RNAcentral.
UCUCUAACUAACUUUUAUUGAGAGCUCUUUCUAGAUUCUAUGAGUGGUGGUGCAUGGCCAUUCUUAGUUGGUGAAGCGAUUUGUUUGGUUAAUUCCGUUAACGAAUGAGACCUCAAUCUGCUAACUAGCUAUGCCGAGGUAACCCUUCGUGGCCAGCUUCUUAGAAGGACUACGACCUUUUAAGCCGUGGAAGUUUGAGGCAAUAACAGGUUUGUGAUGCCCUUAGAUGU